This 429-nucleotide ribosomal RNA is filed under the name Bacillota bacterium. RNAcentral's name for it is "Firmicutes bacterium partial 16S ribosomal RNA". It matches the Rfam family "Bacterial small subunit ribosomal RNA", at positions 355 to 776 of the family's 1533-position model. Lineage: Bacteria; Bacillati; Bacillota. The record is from RNAcentral.
UAGGGAAUCUUCCACAAUGGACGCAAGUCUGAUGGAGCAACGCCGCGUGAGUGAAGAAGGUUUUCGGAUCGUAAAGCUCUGUUGUUGGUGAAGAAGGAUAGAGGCAGUAACUGGUCUUUAUUUGACGGUAAUCAACCAGAAAGUCACGGCUAACUACGUGCCAGCAGCCGCGGUAAUACGUAGGUGGCAAGCGUUGCCCGGAUUUAUUGGGCGUAAAGCGAGCGCAGGCGGAAUGAUAAGUCUGAUGUGAAAGCCCACGGCUCAACCGUGGAACUGCAUCGGAAACCGUCAUUCUUGAGUGCAGAAGAGGUGAGUGGAAUUCCAUGUGUAGCGGUGGAAUGCGUAGAUAUAUGGAAGAACACCAGUGGCGAAGGCGGCUCUCUGGUCUACAACUGACGCUGAGGCUCGAAAGCAUGGGUAGCGAACAGG